Molecule: ribosomal RNA, 613 nt
Filed under: bacterium enrichment culture
Lineage: Bacteria
Description: bacterial SSU rRNA
Rfam family: Bacterial small subunit ribosomal RNA
Source: RNAcentral
GUAAGGCCCUUCGGGGUACACGAGCGGCGGACGGCUGAGUAACACGUAGGAACGUACCCCAAAGUGAGGGAUAAGCACCAGAAAUGGUGUCUAAUACCGCAUGUGCUCUAAGGAGUAAAGCUCCGGCGCUUUGGGAACGGCCUGCGCAUGAUUAGCUAGAUGGUGAGGUAAUGGCUCACCAUGGCGACGAUCAUUAGCUGGUCUGAGAGGAUGAUCAGCCAGACUGGGACUGAGACACGGCCCAGACUCCUACGGGAGGCAGCCGUAGGGAAUUUUCCACAAUGGGCGAAAGCCUGAUGGAGCAACGCCGCGUGCAGGAUGAAUGCCUUCGGGUUGUAAACUGCUUUUAUAUGUGACGAAUAUGACGGUAGCAUAUGAAUAAGGAUCGGCUAACUCCGUGCCAGCAGCCGCGGUCAUACGGAGGAUCCAAGCGUUAUCCGGAAUUACUGGGCGUAAAGAGUUGCGUAGGCGGCAUAGUAAGCAGAUAGUGAAAGCGUGUGGCUCAACCAUACUCACAUUAUCUGAACUGCUAAGCUAGAGGACGAGAGAGGUCACUGGAAUUCCUAGUGUAGGAGUGAAAUCCGUACAUAUUAGGAGGAACACCAAUGGCGUA